Danio rerio (zebrafish) is the source of this 118-nucleotide ribosomal RNA. Lineage: Eukaryota; Metazoa; Chordata; Actinopteri; Cypriniformes; Danionidae. The record is from Ensembl.
UAUGCUGGCAACUAGCUCCCUGCAGCUCUCACAUGGUCGCCCACUGAAGCUAAGCAGGGCUGCCCCCGGUCAGUACCUGGAUAGGAGACUACAUGGGAAAGCUAGGUCGCUGACGGAA